Molecule: long non-coding RNA, 257 nt
Filed under: Homo sapiens (human)
Lineage: Eukaryota; Metazoa; Chordata; Mammalia; Primates; Hominidae
Description: HSALNT0406973
Source: RNAcentral
CUCAUUAAGACAGUAAGCUCUUUGAAGCUGGGGGUAGGGGUCUUAUCCAAUUCAUCACGGCGUAUUCGUGGCACAUAAUAUGGAAUGAAUGAACAGAUUGAUUUAGGAAAUAGAACCCACAAAACUCAGUGGCCAAUUGGAUGUGAAGGAGAGGGAAGGAGGAAUCUUGAGAGACUUCCAGGUUUUCUGGCCCAAGGAAUUGGGUCACCUACAGGAAUUGCUUCUCUUAGCAAGGCAUCGUCUCCUGUGCAAAGUCU